UCGCGGCGAAUAGCUCAGUAACACGUGGCCAAGCUCCCCUUCAGUCAGCGAUACCCUCGGGAAACUGAGGUUAACAGCUGAUACAAAACGCCAGCUGGAAUGCGGCGUUUCAGAAAGACAUCGCUGAAGGAUGCGGCUGCGGCCGAUUAGGUAGACGGUGGGGUAACGGCCCACCGUGCCAGUAAUCGGUACGGGUGAUGAGAGUCAGAGCCCGGAGACGGAAUCUGAGACAAGAUUCCGGGCCCUACGGGGCGCAGCAGGCGCGAAACCUUUACACUGCACGGAAGUGCGAUAGGGGAAUCCCAAGUGCGAGGGCAUAUUAGCCCUCGCUUUUCUCGACUGUAAGGUGGUCGACGAAUAAGAGCUGGGCAAGACCGGUGCCAGCCGCCGCGGUAAUACCGGCAGCUCAAGUGAUGUCCCAUAUUAUUGGGCCUAAAGCGUCCGUAGCU
This 449-nucleotide ribosomal RNA is filed under the name uncultured haloarchaeon. RNAcentral's name for it is "bacterial SSU rRNA". It matches the Rfam family "Archaeal small subunit ribosomal RNA", at positions 76 to 526 of the family's 1478-position model. The record is from RNAcentral. Lineage: Archaea; Methanobacteriati; Methanobacteriota; Halobacteria; Halobacteriales; Halobacteriaceae.